GACGAACGCUGGCGGCGUGCUUAACACAUGCAAGUCGAACGGAAAGGCCCUGCUUUUGUGGGGUGCUCGAGUGGCGAACGGGUGAGUAACACGUGAGUAACCUGCCCUUGACUUUGGGAUAACUUCAGGAAACUGGGGCUAAUACCGUAUAGGAGCUCCUGCUGCAUGGUGGGGGUUGGAAAGUUUCGGCGGUUGGGGAUGGACUCGCGGCUUAUCAGCUUGUUGGUGGGGUAGUGGCUUACCAAGGCUUUGACGGGUAGCCGGCCUGAGAGGGUGACCGGCGACAUUGGGACUGAGAUACGGCCCAGACUCCUACGGGAGGCAGCAGUGGGGAAUAUUGCACAAUGGGCGGAAGCCUGAUGCAGCAACGCCGCGUGCGGGAUGACGGCCUUCGGGGUGUAAACCGCUUUAGCCUGUGACGAAGCGUGAGUGACGGUAAUGAGUAAAGAAGCACCGGCUAACUACGUG
This 468-nucleotide ribosomal RNA is filed under the name uncultured bacterium. RNAcentral describes it as "partial 16S ribosomal RNA". It matches the Rfam family "Bacterial small subunit ribosomal RNA", at positions 28 to 507 of the family's 1533-position model. The record is from RNAcentral.